ACUUGGCACCCCUUACGCCUUACGGUGGCCGCUGCGCCCAGUCACAUCUAUUGCAUUUCUCUGGAAUGACCACAGCAAUAUUUCCAGCCCUUGAUGAUCUUCUAGAACUUUGCCACUUCCCUGCAUCAAGAGGGUUUGUCUUGGUCCAUUUUAUGCUGCUAUAACAGAACACCACAGACUGAGAAAUUUAUAAGGAAUAGAAGUUUAUUUGCCUCAUGUUUCUGGAGGCUGGGAAUUCCAAGAUCAAGGGGCUGCAUAGAUUGAGGUCCUUUUUGCUGACUCAUAACGUGGAAAGAGAGUGCACUGCAUAGAAGAAAGGAGGCCAAACUCAUUCUUUUAUCAUGAGCCUACUCCUGAAAUAACUCACUCUCAAGAUAAUGGCAUUAAUCCAUUCAUGAAGGCAGAAUACUCAUGAUGUAAUCACCUCUUAAAAGGUCCUAUUUCCUAACACUGUUGCAUUAGGGAUUAAGCUGUCAACACAUGAAUAUUGGGGGACACAUUCAAACCAUAGCAAGAGUUCUUUGUCUUUGUGACUCGGUGUGGUUCAGCAAAUUGCGAUUGGUCUGCUAUAGCGGACUUUCCCCUCACCUCCCAAAUGUUUAUUAUGAAAAAUUUCAUUUUAAAGAAAGGUGGAAGGAAUUGUUGAAAGAAUAUGUCAUCUAGUUUCUACUGUUGUUAACAUUGUGUCAUAUUUGCCUUUUCAUCCAUCCAACCACCCAUCCAUCUAGCUACCUUAUAAUUACUAUUAUUACUUAUUAUUACUAUUAUUUUUAAAGACACCUCUAUUAAAGCAACCAUCUUAUUUUUUGAUUUUAUUUAUUUUCAAAGUUAGUUGCAGACAUUAGUAUACUUUACUCCUAGACAUUUUAGCGUGAACAUAAUUAACUGGAGUAUAAUACUUGUUUUCAAUUUCUUUUUAUUUUUGAGGUAAAAUUUACAUACAGUGAAAUCCAAAUCUUAAGUGUACCACUAGAUAAAUUUUGAUAAAUGCAUUAUGCCUGGUCUUCACACACCCUUUUCAAUAUAUAGAAAAUUUCCAGAUAAUUUAUUUUGUUGUUUUUUUCACACACUAAGUUCUAGACUUUUCCAGGUCCGAGGGAACUAUUAGGGGGGAAAGUACUUGUUAUAGUAAAAAAGAUUUUAGGUGUGUUUGUUUUUAAGGUGCAGAAACACAUCGCAGAUUAAGGUCUGCAUCUCUGCUUUUUGUUAUUGUUCCAGUUUGAUCUCAGUGACAUUACAAGCAAGCAGAAACACUCAGACAUGAAAUGGCCAGUGCCUGUGAGUUAAGAGCAGGAUCUAGGUCUAUUUUUUUGAUAUGUAUCUCAACUACCUGGAAUACUUUAUACUUUUGGCACUCAAUAAAUAUUUGUUGCUGCCAGACGAUCUGCCACAAAAAUUUACUGGGUCUAUUUUAUGGCUAUUGUUUGUUCACCUUGAAAAUAAUCAUGGGAUCAUAGAAGUCAAAGUCAUGGAGAGCAGCACAGAGGUUUCUCAGCUGUUGAUAAGUUCUUUACAGUAAAGCAGGGUUAAAUGUAGAAGGUAUGAUACUGAGAGCUUCUCAAAGGUACAGAGGUGAAUAGAGGAAAAAGAGCAGAUAAAUUCAGACAGAAUGUCGUUAAGGUCCUAGCAGAAAAAAGACCUGAAUUCGGAGUUCUCUUAUGCUUUCUACUGGAGUUCCAACUCUGUGCUUGACCUUUCCAGGGCCUGCAGGUGCAUGAAGAUGGGUGGUUACUAUUCCUAGAAAAUGUUUAUGUAGAAAAAUACUGAUACAUGCUGAUAUGGUUUGACUGUGUCCCCACCCAAAUCUCAUCUUGAAUGGAACAUAUUGCAAAGUGGUAGCAUGAUAUUUUACUAAACUAAGUUACUGUCAAGACAUUCAGAGAUAUUUUUAAAUGGUACACCAAAUUUCAACACCCUAAAUGCUCACUCAAGCUGAUUACAAAUGAUUGCUUGCCAUUCUUUGUGUAUGAGUGUGAUUACCACCUGCAGUAACUUAAAGACGACUAUUCAGGGUGAAAUCUGCCUCUGAAUUGCCAUCCUGGUCACAAAUCUUUUCCUUCCCAAGUGGAAAUCUUCUCCAGAAGAAAUAAUAACAAUAGUAUUUUGGUUAGUGUUCAGUUGUGGAGAGUAAAACUCACUCUAGCUAGUUUAAGCAGUAAGGUGUUCAUCACGGAGCAUUAAAUGGCCCACAGAUUUUAGGUUGAGUGUCCAGGAAUGGUUCCCAAAGCCACAUUGGCUGUCAAGGGAUUAUGCCUUUGCUACCAUUAGAAAGCCAUGGUAUAAGAAAGAUACCAUCACAGCUGUUAGCUCUAGAGCCUCUGCUAUCAGUGGAAAAUAGCCUACCAAGUUAGGAAACCUUUGCUACAGCUGCUGUCCCAGGCUGCCACUGCAGUUCUAAGGCACAUCAACAAAAUUGGAUUCCAGACUCUAGGCUGAGUGUCAUUCCUGGACACUCAACCUAGAAGUUUAACAUCUAAUUGUAGGAACUUAAAUCUAGAAUCCUAGGUGCAAGGGAUUGGGAAAUGGUGCAAGGGAUUUAGUCCCAUUAUAUUAAAAGAAGUUAGAAUGCAUGCUUACUGGCCAGUGUUUACUAGAAAUAUCUAACAUUUGUCAAGAACCUGUACGUGAGUCACGGUAAUUACUUCUUCACAUGAAUGAUCUGAGUCUUACAACCACCCAAUUAGGUAGUUACGUCCUAUUAGUGAGAUACUAUUAUUAUAGCCACUUUUACAGGUGAGGAAUCUGCUGGUAGGAAAAGUUAUUUUCUCAAGCUCGGGUCACAGAACAGAACAUGGUGAAAUUGGCAUUUGAACCUAAGUGUGUUUGACUCUAAAUUCUGGAAUCUGGUCUCUUAACAAUCAUACUAUACUGUUUCUACUAUCUUUACCAAUUAAGUGAAAAGAAAAUUAGUUUAAAAGAUAUUUGGAUAUCAUCAAUCAUCAAGACACUGUGCUAAGAUCAUACAUAAAUUUUUUUUUUUUUUGAGACAGUCUUGCCUGUCACCCAACCUGAAGUGCAGUGGCAUGAUCUCGGCUCACUGCAGACUCCGCAUCCUAGGUUCAAGCAAUUCUCCUGCCUCAGUCCCCAAGUAACUGGGAUUACAGGUGUGUGCCACCAUGCCUGGCUAAUUUUUGUAUUUUUAGUAGAGAUGGGGUUUCACCAUGUUGACCAGACUGGUCUCGAACUCCUGACCUUGUGAUCUGACUGCCUUGGCCUCCCAAAGUGCUGGGGUUACACGUGUGAGGAUGGCAUUAAUCUAGAGGUAAACUAUAGGCACAAUUAUUAUACAAGGUAGGAAGUAAAUGUCAUAAGAGAGUAUAGACAAAAUGCCCUUGGAAUUAUUUGGAGAGAUUUACUCAGAGAAUUCAGAAAGAAGUUUAGCUAACACUGGGCUUUGAAGGGUAAAUGGUUUUUGAACAUUCAGAAAAGGAAGAAGGUUACUUGUAUCAGGCUGUUCUCAUGCUGCUAAUAAAGACAUACAUGAGACUCAGUAAUUUAUAAAGAAAAGAGGUUUAAAUGACUCACAGUUCAGCAUGUCUUGGGGAGGCCUCAUGAAACUUACAAUCAUGGCAGAAGAGGAAGCAAACACAUCCUUCACAUGGAGGCAGCAAGGAAAAGUGCAGAGCUGAUAUGAUUUGGCUGUGUCCCCACCCAGAUCUCAUCUUGAAUUCCCAUGUGUUGUGGGAGGGACCCAGUGGGAGAUGAUUGAAUGAUGGGGGCAGAUAUUUCCCGUGCUGUUCUCAUGAUAGUGAAUAAGUCUCAUGAGAUCUUAUGGUUCUACAAGGGGGAGUUUCCCUGCACAAGCUCUCUCUCUUUGCCUGCUGCCAUCCAUGUAAGAUGUGACUUGCUCCUCUUUGCCUUCCACCAUGAUUUUGAGGCUUCCCCAGCCACGUGGAAUUGUGAGUUCUCUGUUAAACCUCUUUCCUUUGUAAAUUGCCCAGUCUCAGGUAUGUUUUUAUCAGCAGAAUGAAAUGAACUAAUACAGUAAAUUGGUACUGGUAGCAUGGGGUGCUGCUGAAAAGAUACCUGAAAAUGUGCAAGCGACUUUGGAACUGUGUAACGGGCAGGGAUUGGAACAGUUUGGAGGGCUCAGAAGAAGACAGGAAAAUGUGGGACAGUUUGGAACUUCCUAGAGACUUGUUGAAUGGCUUUGCCCAAAAUGCUGAUAGUGAUAUGGAAAAUAAAGUCCAGGCUGAGGUGGUCUCAGAUGGAGAUGAGGAACUUGGGAACUGGAGCAGAGGUGACUCUUGUUAUAUUUCAGCAAAGAGACUGGCAGCAUUUUGCCCCUGCCUUAGAGAUUUGUUGAACUUUGAACUUGAGAGAUGAUUUAGGGUAUCUGGCGGAAGAAAUUUCCAAGCAGCAAAGCAUUCAAGAUGUAACUAGGAUGUGGUUAAAGGCAUUCAGUUUUAUAAGGGAAGCAGAGCAUGAAAGUUUGGAAAAUUUGCAGCCUGACAAUGUGAUAGAAAAGAAAAUCCCAUUUUAUGAGGAAAAAUCCAAGCCGGCUGCAGAAAUUUGCAUAUGUAAUGAGGAGCUGAAUGUUAAUCCCCAAGACAAUGGGGAAAAUGUCUCCAGGGCAUGUCAGAGGUCUUCAUGGCAGCCCUUCCCAUUACAGGCCUAGAGGCCUAGGAGGAAAAGUGGUUUUGUGGUCUGGGCCCAGGGUCCCGUGCUGUGUGCAGCCUAGGGACUUGGUGCCUUAUGUCCCAGCCACUCUAGCUGUGGCUAAAAGGGGCCAAUGUAGAGCUCAGGCCAUGGCUUCAGAGGGUGCAAGCCUGAAGCCUUGGCAGCUUCCAUGUGGUGUUGAGCCUGCCAGUGCACAGAAAUCAAGAAUUGGGGUUUGGAAACAUCUUCCUAGAUUUCAGAGGAUGUAUGGAAAUGCUUGGAUGUCCAGGCAGAAGUUUGCCACCGGGGCAGGGCCCUCAUGAACCUCUGCUAAGGCAGUGCAGAAGGAAAAUGUCAGGUGGGAGCCCCCACACAUAGUCCCCACUGGGGCACCAUGUAGUGGAGCUGUGAGAAGAAAGUCACCAUCCUGCAGACCCCAGAAUGGUAGAUCCACUGACAGCAUGCAAUGUGUGCCUGGAAAAGCUGCAAACACUCAACACCAGCCCAUGAAAGCAGCAGGGAGUGGGGCUGUACCCUGCAAAGCCACAGGGGUGGAGCUGCCCAUGACCAUAGGAACCCACCUCUUACAUCAGCAUGCCCUGGGUGUGAGACAUGGAGUCAAAGGAGAUCAUUUUGGAUCUUUAAGGUUUGACUGCCCCACUGGAUUUUGGACUUUCAUGGGGCCUGUAACCCCUUUGUUUUGUCCAAUUUCUGCCGUUUGGAAUGGCUGUAUUUAUCCAUUGCCUGUACCCCUAUUGUAUCUAGGAAGUAACUAACUUGCUUUUGAUUUUACAGGCUCACAGGCAGAAGGGACUUGCCUUGUCUCAGAUGAGACUUUGGACAGUGGACUUUCGAGUUAAUGCUGAAAUGAGUUAAGACUUUGGGGGACUGUUGGGAAGGCAUGAUUGGUUUUGAAAUAUGAGGACAUGAGAUUUGGGAUGGCCCAGGGGCAGAAUGAUAUAGUUUGGCUCUGUGUCCCCACCCAAAUCUCAUAUUGAAUUCGCAUGUGUUGUGGGAGGGACCUGGUGGGAGGCAAUUGAAUCAUGGGGGCAGGUCUUUCCUGUGCUGUUCUCAUGGUAGUGAAUAAGUCUCACAAGAUCUGAUGGUUCCAUAAGGGGGAGUUUCCCUGCACAAGCACCCUCUCUUUGCCUGCUGCCAUCCAUGUAAAACGUGACUUGCUCCUCCUUGUCUUCCACCAUGAUUGUGAGGGUUCCCCAGCCACAUGGAACUAUAAGUCCAGUUAAACCUCUUUCUUUUGUAAAUUGCCCAUUCUUAGGUAUAUCUUUAUUAGCAGCAUGAAAACAGACUAAUACAAGAGUGACGGGGGGGAAAGCCCCUUAUAAAACUAUCAGAUCUUGUGAGAACUCACUAUCACUAGAACAGCAUGGAGGUCACCAUCCCCAUUAUUCAUUUACCUCCCACCAAGUCCUCCUGUGACAUGUGGGGAUUAUGUGAACUCAAGUCCAAGAUGAGAUUUGGGAGAGGACGGAGCUAAACCAUAUCAGUAGUUAAUAGUCACAGAAGCUGGAAAUCCUGAGGCAUGUGUGGACUAAUUGCACAUAUUCCAAUUUGGUUAGCACGAACAGCAAAUAAAAUGGAGCAGAGGAAAAUAUGGCUGAAAAGGCUUUGAAUGCUAAGUCAUUUGGAAUUCCUUUUGUAGAUUGUCAGGAACCCUGAAGGUCCUUGAGCAGAGGGGUUACAUGAGAGCUCUGUUAUAUGAAGAUAUUAGGAUCUUUUGGAUAAUCUGGAGUUGGAGGACUAGAGAUCAAAUUAGAUUGGAGCUACAUCUUUACAAAAAAUAAAGAAAUUAGCAGGCAUGGUGAUGUGCACCUGUAGUCCGAGCUACUUGGGAGGCUGAGGUGAGAGGAUCACUUGAGCCUGGGCAGUUGAGACUGCAGUGAACCAUGAUGGUGCUACUGUACUCCAGCCUGGGUGACAGAGAGAGAGCCUGUCUCAAAAAAAAAUUGGAAGCUGAUAUAAUGACUUUUGAGAACUGACAGACAGAUACUCUAAUUUGAUGACAGUGGAAGUGAGAUGAACUGGGUAUGAGGAUUAGAAAAAAGAGAGCUGGACUUAGCAGUUCUUAACAACUAAUUAGAUGUUGAUAGCAAGGAAGAGAGAAGAGUCAGAUUAUUCUGAGGUUUCCUUCCUGGGUCAUGAGAACAAUGAUUUCAUUAAUAAAAGUGUAUAAGGGCAUAAGAAGUGCGUAAGUUCUUAAGAAGAAUAUACUUACAUGGGAAAUUAAUGAGUUCGAUUUUGGAUUUUUCAAGUGAAAACACUGGUGUGACAACCCAAGAGACAUGGCCAACAAAUUUGGAAAUGUGGAAUGGGAGAUCAGAAGAGAAGUCAGACUAGAAGCAUAAGAUUUUAAAUUUAUCUGCAUAUAGCAGUACUCAAGAUAGCUGCACUUCAGUAGCACCUAGAGAGCUUUAAAAAGUACAUGUGCUGGACCCCAGAGAUUCUGAUUUAAUUGGUAAGGCUAAAAAUUUUGAUUUAAUCAGUUUGGUCAGUGAUGCAGAUUUAAUUAGUAUAGGGUAAGGACCUGGUAUUUUUAUAGUUUGUAAAGCUCCCCAGAUGAUUCUAAUGUACAACCAUGUUUGAUAACUACUGACAGAGGUAAUUCAUGAGCAUGAGGUUGGGCAGGAUUUGAAAAGGAUAGUAUAAAAAGAGAGAAAAGAAAGUUAAUGGUAGAGCCCUUUAUAGCAUUUAUGUUCAAUGAGUAGAAAGAGAAGUCAGACAAUAGGCAAAGAGGUAGAAAAUAAACCAGGAAAAGAGCCAGAGAGUUGAGAGGAGUCAGCAAUGCCACAUGCCACAGAGAGCAGAGGAGACUUCUAAGAAAGGAUUUAAUAGAGGCAGGGGGUGGCAUUGGAGGACAUGUUAUAAUUUGCUUUGUACAUGCUUGUUCACUGUUCACUCCUGGUUAAGUUACAAAUUCAUAAUUAAAAGGAAGAAGCUGAGAGAUGAAAAGCUGAGAAAGUGCUUAGACAGGCAAGUUUACUGGGGUAAGCCUUCAGAUGAGUGAAAUGAUUUCAGAACUUAGUUGGAGUUUUGGAAUCCAGGAUUUCAGAAAUGUAGCAAACCUGCAUGAUGACAAUCCAGUGGGCAUAGUUCUGAGAGAGGAGUGCUGUAGUGGCCAAACAUGUUUUAGGAGUCUAGGUCAGACAACUGUGAGGUUACAGUUCAGUGGAUCUUCACAUGUAUGAUUAAAUCAGCUAUGAUGUGACAAGACUUGUAGUAUAAAGGAGAAUGCUGAACCAGAUGCCUGAAGUCUUUUCUUUAACUGCUUAUUUUAAAAAUUGUCACAUUGUAAGUGUAUAUGUUUAUAGGGUACAAUUUGAUGUUUCAGUACAUAUCUGUAUAUGGAUCAUGUUGUAUAAUGAUCCCAUCAGGAUAGUUAAUGUGUCCUUCACUUCAUGCAUUUGUUUGUGGUGAGACCAUUCAAAAACCUCUCCUCUAGCUAUUUUGUGAUACACAAUAUUUUGCUGUCAACCCUAGUCACCCUACUGUGCAAUAGAACACCAGAAUUUAUUCCUCCUAUCUAAUUGUAACUUUGUACCUGUUGAUUAACCUCUCCCCAUCUUUCUCUCCUCCCUUCCCUCCCUUCCCUCCCUUCCCUCCCCAGUUUCUGGUAACCAUUGAUCUACUCUCUGCUGCUAUAAAAUCAACAUGUGAAUUUUUUCAGAUUCCAUGUCUAAGUGAGAUCAUACGGUAUUUGCCUUUCUGUAUCUGGCUUAUUUCACUUAACAUGAUGUCAUCUAGAUUCAUCACAGAUUACAUUACAUUGAUGUUGUUGCAAAUAACAGGAUUUUAUUCUUUUUUAUGGCUGAAGAGUAUUCCAUUGUGCAUAUAUACCACAUUUUCUGUAUUCAUCCAUUGUUGGACAUGUAAGUUGAUUCCAUAUCUUGGCCAUUGGAACUAGUGCUGCAAUAAACAUGGGGAAGUAUAUAUGUCUUCAUCGUACUGAUCUCAUUUACCUUGUAUAUAUACCCAGUAGUGAAAUUAUUUGAUAGGUAGUGGUUCUAUUUUUAAUUUUUUGAGGAACCUCCAUAUAGUUUUUUAUAAUGGCUGUAUUAGCUUACAAUCCUACCAGCAGUGUGUAAGUGUUCCCCUUUUUUCACAUCCUUAUCAACACUUGUUUUCUUUUGUAUUUUUGACAAUAGCCAUUCUGACUGGCAUGAGGUUGCAUCUCAUUGUGGUUUUGAUUUGCAUUUUCCUGAUAAUUAGAGAUGUUGCACAUUUUUUCAUACACCUGUUGGGCAUUUUUGGUGUCCUUUUGAGAAAUAUCUACUCAGGUCAUUUGCUCACUUUUAAAUCAGAUUUUUUUUCUGCUAUUGAGUUAUGCAAGUUUUUAAAAACAUAAUCUGGGCAGUAACUCCUUGUCAGAUACAUAGUUUGCAAAUAUUUUCUCCUAUUCUGUAGGUUUUAUUUUCUCUCUGUUGUUUCCAUUGCUGUGUAAAAGCUUUUCAUAUUGCUGUAAUCCCAUUUGUCUGUUUUUGCUUUUGUUGCCUGCACUUUUGAAGUCUUAUUUUAAAAAAAUUAUUACCCAGCCCCAUGUCGUGAAGUGUUUCCUCUAUGUUUUAUUCUAUUUUAUAGUUUCAGAUUUUACAUUUAAAUCUUAAUCCAUUUUGAUUUGAUUUUUGUAUAUGGUGCAAGGUAGAGAUCUAGUCUCAUUCUUCUGUAUAUGGAUAUCCACUUUUCCCAGCACCAUUUAUUGAAGAGUCUUUUUACUUUUUAAUUUUAGGUUCAAGGGGUGCAGGUGCAGGUUUGUUACACAGGUAGAUUGUGUGAUGCUGAGGUUUGAAAUUCUAAUGAUCCCAUGACCCAAGUGGCAGAUACAGUACCUGAUAGGUAGUUUUCAACACUUACCCCUCCCUCUUUUCUCCCUUUUUUUGGAAUUCCUAGUGUCUGUUGUUCCUGUCUUUGUUCCAUUUGUACCCAGUAUUUAGCUUCCACUUACGAGAAUAUGUGGUAUUUGGUUUUCUGUUGCUGCGUUAAUUUGCCCAUGACAGUGGCCUUCAGUUGCAUCCAUGUUACUUCAAAGGACAUGAUUUCAUUCUAUUUUUAUGUCUGUGUAGUAUUCUAUGCUGCGUAAGUACCACAUUUUCUUUAUCCAAUCCACCAUUGAUAGGUGCCUGGGUUGAUUUCAUGUCUUUGCUAUUGUGAAUAGUGCUGCACUAAACAUGUGAAUGCAUGUAACUUUUUGGUAUUAAUAGAAUGAUUGAUUUUUCUUUGGGUAUAUACCCAGUAAUAGGAUUGUUGGGUUGAAUGAUAAUUUUAUUUUCUGUUCUUUGAGAAAUCUCCAAACUGCUUUUCACAGGGGCUGAGGUAGUUUACAUUCUCACCAACAUUGUAUAAGCAUUCCCUUUUCUCUGCAACCUCACCGUUAUCCAUUAUUUUUUGACUUUUUAUUAAUAGCCAUUCUGGCUGGUAUUAGAUGGUAUCUCACCGUAGUUUUGAUUUGCAUUUCUCUAAUGAUUAGUGAUGCUGAGCAUUUUUUUUGUAUGUUUCUUGGCUGCUUGUAUGUCUUCUUUUGAGCAGUGUCUGUUCAUAUCCUUUGCCCAUUUUUUUUUUUUUUUUGAGACAAGGCCUUGCCCUGUUGCCUAGGCUGGAGUGCAGUGGCAUGAUCAUGACUUGCUGCAGCCUCGACCUCUGGGGCUCAAGCAAUCCUCCCACCUUAGCCUCUUGAGUAGCUGGGACCACAGGUGUACGUAAACACACCCAGCUAAUUUUUAGUUUUUUGAUGGAGGCGAGGUCUCAUUUUAUUGCCCAGGCUGGUCUUGAACUCCUGGGCUCAAGGAACUCACCCACCUCUGCCUCCCAAAUUGCUGGGAUUACAGCUGUGAGCCACCAUGCCCGGCCUGCCCAAUUUUAAUGGGGUUAUUUGACUUUUGCUUGUUGAUUUGUUUAGUUCCUUAUAGAUUCUGGGCACUAGUCCUUUGUUGGAUGUAUAGUUUGUACAUAUUUUCUCCCAUUCUGUAGGCUGUCUGUUUACUCUGUUGAUAGUUUCUUCUGUUGUGCAGAAGCUCGUUGGUUAAGUAGGUCUCACUUGUCAGUUUUUGCUUUUGUUGCACUUACUUUUGAGGACUUAAUCAUAAAUUCUUUGCUUAGGCCAAUGUCUGGAAGAGUAUUUCUUAGGUUUUCUUUUAGGAUUUUCAUAAUUUGAAGUCUUACAUUUAAGUCUUUAAUCCAUCUUAGUUGAUUUUUGCAUAUGGUGAAAGGUAGAGGUCCAGUUUCAUUCUUCUGCAUAUGGUUAGCCACUUUUUGCAACACCAUUUAUUGAAUAGGGUUUCCCCAUUGCUUAUUUUUGUUGACUUUGUCAAAGAUCAGAUGGAUAUAGGUGUGCAGCUUUAUUUCAGGGGUCUGUAUCCUGUUACCUUGGUCUAUGUGUCUGUUUUUGUAUCAGUAUCAUGUUUUGUUUACUGUAGCCUUGUAGUAUAAUUUGAAGUUGGGUAAUGUGUUGCUUCCAGCUUUGUUCUUUUUGCUUAGGAUCAUUUUGACUAUUCAGGCUUUUUUUUGUUCAGUAUGAAUUUUAGAAUAGUUAUAAUUCUGUGAAAAAUGACAUUGGUAAUUUCAUAGGAAUAGCAUUGAAUUUGUAGAUUGCAUUGAGCAGUAUGGCCAUUUUAAUUAUAUUGAUCCUUCCAAUCCAUGUAUGUGGAAUGUUUUUCCAUGUGUUUGUGUCAUCCCUGAUUUCUUUCAGCAGUGUUUUGUAGUUCUCAUUGCAGCAAUCUUUAAUCUCUUUGGGUAGAUGUAUUUCUAGGUAUUUUUUUCUUUUCAACUGUUGUGAAUGGGAGUGUGUUUUUGAUUUGGGCAAGAGAGCAAGACUCCGUAUCCCCCCCCAAAAAAGAAAAAAAAAUGCUACUGACUUUUAUACAUUGAUUUUGCAUUCUGAAACUUUGCUGAAGUUGUUUAUCAGGUCUAGGAGUCUUUUGGCAGAACCUUUGGGUUUUUAAGGUAUAGAAUGCUAUCAUCAGUGAAGAGAGACAAUUUGACUUCCUUUUUUUCUAUUUGGAUAACUUUUAUUUUUGUCUCCUGACGAUUGCUUUGGCUAGGACUUCCAGUACUAUGUUGAAUACAAGUAGUGAGGUUGACAUCCUUGUUUUUUUCCAGUUCUUAGAUGCCUCCAACUUUGCCUAUUCACUAUGAUGUUAGCCAUGGGUUUGUCAGAGGUGGCACUUAUUAUUUUUAGCUAUGUUCCUUUGAUGGCUAGUUUGUUGAGGAAUUUUAUCAUGAAGGGAUAUUAGAGUUUAUCAAAAUCUUUUUCUGCAUCUAUUGGGAGUUAGGGAGGAGUCUCUCCUUGAAUUUUUGGAAUGUUUCAAUAGGAUUGGUUCCAGCCCUUCUUUGUAUGUGCGGUAAAAUUUGGCUGUGAAUCCAUCUGGUCCAGGGCUUUUUUUUUGGUUGGUAGGUCUUUUUUAUUACUGAUUCAAUUUCAUUACUCAUUAUCAGUAUGUUCAGGAUUUCUGUUUCUUCCUGCUUCAAUCGUAGGAGGUUUUGUGUUUUCAGGAAUUUAUUCAUUUCCUCUAGAUUUUUCUAAUCUGUAUGCAUAGCAAUGUUCAUAGUAGACUCUGGGGGCCUUUUAUGUGUCUGUGGAAUCAGUUGUAAUGUCACCCUUUGUCAUUUCUGAUUGUGCUUACUUGGAUAAUCUUUUUUUUCUUUGUUAAUCUAGGUAGCCAUCUAUCAAUCUUGUUUAUCCUUUCAAAGAACUAAUUUUUUACUUCAUUGAUUCUUUGUAUGGUUUUUGGAUCUCAAUUUCAUUUAGUUCUGCUCUGAUUUUAGUUAUUUCUUUUCUUCACCUCCAAGAUUUCAGUUUGGUCAUUUUAAUAUCAUUCUUUUUAAUGUCUAUCUCUUUGUUGAAUUUCUCAUUCAGAACAUGAAUGUUUUCUUAGUUUCAUUAAAUUGUUUGUGUUCUCUUGUAUCUCACUGAAUUUCCUUAAGAUCAUUAUUUUGAACUUCUUUUCAAGCAUUUCAUAAAUGUCCUUUCCUUCGGAGCCUGUUACUAGAGACUAUGUUCCUUUGGGAGUGUCAUGUCCUUACUUUUUCUUGUUUCUUGUGUCCCUUUGUUGAUAUCUGCACAUCUAAUAGAAUAGGGAUUUUUUUUUGUUUGUUUUAUGGAGUAGCUUUUGUAGGAAGAGAUCUUUUUCUUGUAGACGCAUCUAGAGUAUUAAUUGGGUAUGGUGCGUUGGCUUUAUUUCUGGUGAACUCAGUAACAUGGUCCCCAUGCAGUUUCUUCAGCUAUUAUUCUCAUCAGUGAUGUCUGUGAUUGCUUCAGUGACCUAGGCUGUGGGAGUUUUGAUGGUAUUGGCACAGGUUUGCUGGGAGCAGGGGCACUGGUCUGGUUGUCAGGCUGGGUACAUGCAGUCACAGAGGGCUGACAGGCUAUCUGGUGGGCUUUCUGGAGAGGCAGAGCUGCCGCUGGACUGGAUGUUGGGGUGAGUGUGGGUGUGGUGGUGCCAGGUGGCCCUGCAGUGGUGUAUCCACGAAAGCAGGGAUACCACAGGACUAGCUGUCAGGCUGGGCAUGGGCACAUAUGGGCUCAGUGAUCUAGUCAGCUUUGCAGCACAGGUGUUUGUGAAGUGGCUGGCCAGCUGUUCAGCGGCUUCCUUACUGUAUAGGUUUGCCUGUUCCCUGGGAGUGGGGGUAGUGUGCUAUGUAGGUUCAGAUGCCAGGGUCUCAGUUGUUAUGUGGCCUAGGCUUCACACAGCUGGGGUCAUAGUGCUGCAGGCAUCCAGAUGAACUUGGUAGAAUGAUGGCGAGUCUCAGAGACAGUGAGAUUCUGUCACAGAGAUAGAGACUGGCUCUUAGUGCAGGGCACACUCUAGCUGAGGGUCCAGUGUCAACAAGGCAUUGAGCAUAGCAGCUUACAUUGUUGAGGUGGGAGGUGCUCAAGGUAGGCUUUUCUGAGGCAAUGCAGCUAAGCAAACUCCUGAUUACUCUCCAAACUGAAUUUGGAGCUUUUGAGGACUGGAGGACUCUCCUGUAGCAAGGACUGGCAUUUGUGGUGGUAAUGGGCACCACUGCAUAUAUCCAGCAUACCUCUUCCCUGUAAGAAGUUCCCCCUGACUUCAAGCUGAUCUUGGGAGACAAUGUGGCAAAGUCAGGGUGCCUUUCUCACCUCUCUAUGGUGCUAUCUGUGCUUCUGUUCUCCACAGGGAUAUUGCUGCUCCCCUGGUGUCUGCUAGCAUACUUCCUCAGUCACUUUAGUUGACAUAUAGUUGUUUAUUUAUUGUUUUGGUCCCUUCAUGUGGGAGAGAAGUCAAAUCGACUUGGCAACCUUGAUGAUGUCACUACCUGGGAUGCAUGGAGUCUUACUGAUUUUGAGGGAGUGGUUUGGAGGUUGGUAAUCAUGGUAAUGUGGAUGGGAAGAGAAUAGUGGUUAUAUAUAGACAUGAGAGUUUCAAAGGAGAGGGCAUUGUUGAGGGAUAUUUUUUAAAAUCUGAAAAUCACAGUGUGGACUGAGAGUGGUAGCCCAGCAUUUCCUUCUCUGGUUACAUGGAUUCAAAGGUGAGUGAAAGCAUGUUUUCUUUCUCUCAGCAUCUUUGUUACUUCACUUCUCGAAUAAGUUUCUCUUUGUUAGAAUUAGGUUCAGAAUAGCAAUUUCCUUAUUGGUUACUCUGUUUUCUGAGAAGUAGAAUUAUCAACAAAGAAACAGGAAUAUUUCAGAUCAUCUACUAUGUAAGAAUCAAAUGAGAUUGUGUAUUUCAGAGUGUUUUAAAAAGAGCAAAGUAUUCCAAAUAUCUUUAUUCCUAUUAAUCACGUUAAAAAUGGAAUGAGAACUGAACUACCCAUAAAGUUUCUACAAAUGAUGCCAUUAUUUUAUAGAUGAGUAAAAUUUUAAUUGAAAAAACCCAACAUUGUAUAAAUUAUUAAGUUCUUAAGUUCUUAAGCCCUUUUAUACUUGGUCCUGUGAUCCUGGGGUGGUGACUCUGUGGACCCCAUUUUGACUUUAUAAGCUGCUUUCUGUUGGGGUAUACCAGUAGGGGGUUUAAAAGGGAGACUGGUAGGCCGGGUGAGAAAGGACUUGAUUCUUUCCAUGGGCUUGCAGCUUUCUUUCUGCCUUCUGUCUGUUCCUGUGAGCAUCAGUCCUGCAACACUUCCUCACCAGGCAGGUAAAAUUCCCUCCUAUAUAUAUAUUUUGAGAUUGCGUCUCCUCUGUAGCUCAAGCUGGGGUGCAGUGGUGUGAUCUUGGCUCACUGCAACCUCUGCCUCCGCAGAAAAUUCUUGUGCCUCAGCCUCCUGAGUAGCUGGGAUUACAGGCAUGGGGCACCACACCUGGCUAAUUUUUUGUAGAGACGGGAUUUUGCCAUGUUGGCAAGGCUAGUCUUAAACUCCUGGCCUCAAGUGGUCCACCAGUCUUGGCCUCCCAAAGUGCUGGGAUUAUAGACAUGAGCCACUGUCCCUGGUCUCCUCCUAUAGUUUAUCUAAAGCUAGUAUGCAAAUUUUCCAACACCCGAAGAAAAAAAUUUAUCAUGUACAAUCCCCUUUGUUCCCAACAUGUGCACCAAGCAAGUGGCAUCUCUUCUUCAGAGGUUUGGGUCCCCAUGGGAUCCUUCUUCCACAUUUCUAAGUUUUAACAACCUCUUCCCUUGUUUCCCCAACUCUAUCAGUGGUACCUAUUUCUGUAAAGUUGCUCUAUCUAUGAUUUCUUAGGGGGUCUCUUUUGUCCUCCAGUUUUCAGUUCUUUGUAUUAAAUUCUUUCUGUCCAAAUGGCUGAUAUGGUUUCUGCCUCUUUAUUGAACCCAGACUAAUAGAAUUGUCAUACUAAUUUGUUAAUUAGCAAGACAAUUUAGGGUCAUAUCUUAACUGUACAUUCUGUCUAGUAUUUACUAUUUAUACUGUUAUCCAUAAUACUUAGUGAAUAAUGAUGACAUACACUAAAAAUUAAUUAAAACACAGAUAUUAUCUAUAAUAAUAAAAACCAAGUUUAGCACUAUGAAAAACUUACUACAUUGCUUUUAUUUUUAUCAUUUUAUUUCAUAGUGGUGAAAACUUCAUCAGAACCUCAC
Molecule: long non-coding RNA, 15599 nt
Filed under: Homo sapiens (human)
Lineage: Eukaryota; Metazoa; Chordata; Mammalia; Primates; Hominidae
Description: non-protein coding lnc-CTAGE5-8:4
Source: RNAcentral